This 272-nucleotide ribosomal RNA is filed under the name uncultured bacterium. RNAcentral describes it as "partial 16S ribosomal RNA". It matches the Rfam family "Bacterial small subunit ribosomal RNA", at positions 520 to 791 of the family's 1533-position model. The record is from RNAcentral.
GUAAUACGUAGGGGGCAAGCGUUAUCCGGAUUUACUGGGUGUAAAGGGAGCGUAGACGGCAAGGCAAGUCUGAAGUGAAAGCCCGGUGCUUAACGCCGGGACUGCUUUGGAAACUGUUUAGCUGGAGUGCCGGAGAGGUAAGCGGAAUUCCUAGUGUAGCGGUGAAAUGCGUAGAUAUUAGGAAGAACACUAGUGGCGAAGGCGGCUUACUGGACGGUAACUGACGUUGAGGCUCGAAAGCGUGGGGAGCAAACAGGAUUAGAUACCCUGGU